UGGGGAAUUUUGGACAAUGGGCGAAAGCCUGAUCCAGCAAUGCCGCGUGCAGGAUGAAGGCCUUCGGGUUGUAAACUGCUUUUGUACGGAACGAAAAGGUUUGGCCUAAUAAGCUGAGCUCAUGACGGUACCGUAAGAAUAAGCACCGGCUAACUACGUGCCAGCAGCCGCGGUAAUACGUAGGGUGCGAGCGUUAAUCGGAAUUACUGGGCGUAAAGCGUGCGCAGGCGGUUUUGUAAGACAGAGGUGAAAUCCCCGGGCUCAACCUGGGAAUUGCCUUUGUGACUGCAAGGCUUGAGUGCGGCAGAGGGGGAUGGAAUUCCGCGUGUAGCAGUGAAAUGCGUAGAUAUGCGGAGGAACACCGAUGGCGAAGGCAAUCCCCUGGGCCUGUACUGACGCUCAUGCACGAAAGCGUGGGGAGCAAGCA
This 427-nucleotide ribosomal RNA is filed under the name uncultured bacterium. RNAcentral describes it as "bacterial SSU rRNA". It matches the Rfam family "Bacterial small subunit ribosomal RNA", at positions 355 to 774 of the family's 1533-position model. The record is from RNAcentral.